Cornus florida is the source of this 1101-nucleotide long non-coding RNA. RefSeq lists it as uncharacterized. The transcript is spliced from 2 exons. The record is from RefSeq and is a predicted model, not a curated record. Lineage: Eukaryota; Viridiplantae; Streptophyta; Magnoliopsida; Cornales; Cornaceae.
AACACAAAAACUUCCACGAUGCUUGAAUCACCAACCGUCCUCAUCCCCAACCUCCCUUUAUAUAAACUGUAAACACAAAAACUCCAUUCAAAAAUUUUUUUCUUACCUUUUUUUUUUUAAUUUUUAUUUUUAGAAGAAUUCAAAUUCAUUUUUUAAACACCAAGAAACUUGCAAAACAUCAUUGUCAUGAACUGUAAAUAAAAACAGGGUGCUUUCCUCAUCAGGGCAAUUUUCUGGAAAUCACUUUUCUCCCUGGAAUUUGCAUAUAUUAUCCUGGAAAUUUGGCAAAAAAACAAAUUACUUUUUAUUAAUUUUUGAGAUCAUAUGAGUUUUUGUCAUGUUCCGAAUUUUUUCUAAUUUUUUUAGUAUUUUUAUUUUAUUUAUUUUUCGUGCCAUCGUUUUACGUGUCAUGCAAUCCGGUGAUUUUAUUGUAUUUUUUUUUUUUUUUUUUGCCAUUGAGGUGUGUGUGUAUAUAUGUGUGUGUGUGUGUGUGAGAGAGAGAGAGAGAGAGAGAGAAAGAGAGGUUAGUGGAAGAUGAUAAUAUGUGGCAUUAGACGAAAGUUGAAGGGGCUUUAGAGGGCGUUUUUGUCUUUGGAAGUGUUAAGUGGACCUUGACAUUGACCAUUGACUCUAGAAAGCUCUUGACUCAUUUUUGGCCACAAGUCUUCACUCUCCAUUCUCUCGGCCAUCACUUUGUUUUCAUCUUCAUUCUUCUCUCUCUCUAUAUUUCUUUCUUUUCUGUAAGAUUUUGCUUACAUAAGUAUAAUUUGAUCUAAGCCAUUGUUAGAAAAGUUAUAGAGCUCGACAAGGACUACAUUUUGGCAUCAAUCUUGCAUCAUUUUGGUGGGAUUUCGAGUUGAGAUCUAAGGGCUUUGGUUGCAUCUUUUGAGGUUAUAGCAAUGACACAGUUGAGGACAAACCCUCACAUGUGUAGUUAGGGUUGACGAGGGCAUUUUUCGACAAUUUUGUAACUAAGGCUUAGUUGAUGUAUUUUCUUUUGUAAAGCAUUGUAAAUGUGACCUUAAAGGUUUAGACUUGUAUUUAAAUUCUUUUAGACCACUUCAAAUGUAAUUUGGGGCAUGUAAUUAUCUAUUUUGAACA